GUCCGCCUUCUUGGUGUGUACUUACUCAACGGGGACUUACCUCCUGGUGAGCUGCGAUGUCCUUUACUGGGUGUCGUAGGGAACCAGGACGUUUACUUUGAAAAAAUUAGAGUGUUCAAAGCAGGCCUACGCCCGAAUACAUUAGCAUGGAAUAAUAGAAUAGGACGAGCGGUCCCAUUUUGUUGGUUUCUGAGAUCGCCGUAAUGAUUAAUAGGGAUAGUUGGGGGCAUUCGUAUUCCGUCGU
RNAcentral lists this ribosomal RNA (244 nucleotides) under uncultured fungus. RNAcentral's name for it is "partial 18S ribosomal RNA". The stretch from base 77 to 244 matches the Rfam family "Eukaryotic small subunit ribosomal RNA", at positions 736 to 905 of the family's 1831-position model. The record is from RNAcentral. Lineage: Eukaryota; Fungi.